Molecule: ribosomal RNA, 550 nt
Filed under: Alternaria populi
Lineage: Eukaryota; Fungi; Ascomycota; Dothideomycetes; Pleosporales; Pleosporaceae
Description: eukaryotic LSU rRNA
Rfam family: 5.8S ribosomal RNA (bases 185-338)
Source: RNAcentral
ACCUGCGGAGGGAUCAUUACACAAAUAUGAAGGCGGGCUGGAACCUCUCGGGGUUACAGCCUUGCUGAAUUAUUCACCCUUGUCUUUUGCGUACUUCUUGUUUCCUUGGUGGGUUCGCCCACCACUAGGACAAACAUAAACCUUUUGUAAUUGCAAUCAGCGUCAGUAACAAAUUAAUAAUUACAACUUUCAACAACGGAUCUCUUGGUUCUGGCAUCGAUGAAGAACGCAGCGAAAUGCGAUAAGUAGUGUGAAUUGCAGAAUUCAGUGAAUCAUCGAAUCUUUGAACGCACAUUGCGCCCUUUGGUAUUCCAAAGGGCAUGCCUGUUCGAGCGUCAUUUGUACCCUCAAGCUUUGCUUGGUGUUGGGCGUCUUGUCUCUAGCUUUGCUGGAGACUCGCCUUAAAGUAAUUGGCAGCCGGCCUACUGGUUUCGGAGCGCAGCACAAGUCGCACUCUCUAUCAGCAAAGGUCUAGCAUCCAUUAAGCCUUUUUUUCAACUUUUGACCUCGGAUCAGGUAGGGAUACCCGCUGAACUUAAGCAUAUCAAAG